RNAcentral lists this ribosomal RNA (220 nucleotides) under Varanus bengalensis. RNAcentral's name for it is "partial 16S ribosomal RNA". It matches the Rfam family "Archaeal large subunit ribosomal RNA", at positions 1924 to 2176 of the family's 2987-position model. Lineage: Eukaryota; Metazoa; Chordata; Lepidosauria; Squamata; Varanidae. The record is from RNAcentral.
UCCCCGCACUACUAUUAGAGGCACUGCCUGCCCAGUGACUAAAGUUUAACGGCCGCGGUAUCCUGACCGUGCAAAGGUAGCAUAAUCACUUGUUCCUUAAUUAGGGACUAGCAUGAACGGCUAAACGAGGGUCCAACUGUCUCUUAUCUUUAAUCAGUGAAAUUGACCUUUCAGUGAAGAGGCUGAAAUAUAAUAAUAAGACGAGAAGCCCCUAUGGAGA